This 111-nucleotide ribosomal RNA is filed under the name Peromyscus maniculatus bairdii (prairie deer mouse). The record is from RNAcentral. Lineage: Eukaryota; Metazoa; Chordata; Mammalia; Rodentia; Cricetidae.
UUAAAUGAUCAAAACACAUAGAGCGUACCAGAUCUCAUUUGAUCUUGGAAGCUAAACAGUAUCUGGCCUGGUCAGUAUUAGGGUGGUAGAAGUAUCCCAUAUUUAUUGAAA